Molecule: ribosomal RNA, 446 nt
Filed under: uncultured bacterium
Lineage: Bacteria
Description: partial 16S ribosomal RNA
Rfam family: Bacterial small subunit ribosomal RNA
Source: RNAcentral
CCUACGGGAGGCAGCAGUCGAGAAUCAUUCACAAUGGGGGAAACCCUGAUGGUGCGACGCCGCGUGGGGGAAUGAAGGUCUUCGGAUUGUAAACUCCUGUCAUGUGGGAGCAAAUUAAAAAGAUAGUACCACAAGAGGAAGAGACGGCUAACUCUGUGCCAGCAGCCGCGGUAAUACAGAGGUCUCAAGCGUUGUUCGGAAUCACUGGGCGUAAAGUGUGCGUAGGCUGUUGCGUAAGUCGUGUGUGAAAGGCGCGGGCUCAACCCGCGGACGGCACAUGAUACUGCGAGACUAGAGUAAUGGAGGGGGAGCCGGAAUUCUCGGUGUAGCAGUGAAAUGCGUAGAGAUCGAGAGGAACACUCGUGGCGAAGGCGGGUUCCUGGACAUUAACUGACGCUGAGGCACGAAGGCCAGGGGGGCGAAAGGGAUUAGAUACCCUGGUAGUC